Rhododendron vialii is the source of this 2884-nucleotide long non-coding RNA. RefSeq lists it as uncharacterized. The record is from RefSeq and is a predicted model, not a curated record. Lineage: Eukaryota; Viridiplantae; Streptophyta; Magnoliopsida; Ericales; Ericaceae. The transcript is spliced from 2 exons.
UGCAGGGAGCUCCUAAAUUGGUGCCACUCCCACCUUGGGAGCCCGUUUUUGCGCUCCCAACUAAGGAGCUUGACGGGAGCCUAAUCCCAUUAAGAUGGGAGCUCGGUCGUUACAAAGAUGGGAGUUUUUGUAUGAUCUUUGCAUAGAAAAACAGGGAUUUAUUACUUGGCUUUAUUAAUUGGUCUUUGAUGAACUCAUAUAUCUAGCCCAAGUCAUGAUAUCUUGAAAAGAAAAUCAUACUAUAUUGUAACACUAGCCCAUUUCUUACACUUAUGGAGGACUUGACCCGUAUUUUUACUUCCAAAAAUGAUUGUACUUUUAAAUUGUAUACUCUAUGCUACAUUAUUUUCAUAAUAUACGUACACGCUCCCAACCUUGGGAGCUUCUACAUUCUCUCGCUUCCACGCUCCCGCCCCCGCUUCCACUCCUGCACCCGCUCCCGCUUCGUGCAACUAAGAUCCGAAUAGGUUUUCAUAAAAAUGCAUUUAUAGCGUUUUUAUGAAAAACUACUCGGAUCAAGUCCUUCCCGGUCAUAUUUUUUGCCGAUUUCUUGCGUGUACUUUUAAAAUCACGUUUUAAACAUAUUGAAUGGUUCAGAUCAUCAAAAUUUGAUCAGGAACAAUGUCAAACUCAUGAGGUCCUUAACAAGUUAAGGGCGCCCUUAGUAGAAGGGAACUGUACAUAUAAUGUUUCAAAUGAGGACCUCUUAAAAUGCGGACUCACCUUUUCCGAUCGAAUUUCGAUGAUCCGAGCCACUCAAUAUGUUCAGAAUGUGAUUUUAAGGGUACGCGCGAGAAAUCGGCAAAAAAAAAUGACCGGGAAGGGCUUGAUUUGAGCAGUUUUUUAUUGAACCAUUCAAUAAAAACCGCAAAAUAUUCCAUUUUUGACAUGCCAAAGAUAAACAAUCAUUGAACAAAUGCUCAAGGGAAUUGAUUUCCGCACUCCCCUUUUUACAAUUCACGCUCUUUUUUUUUUUUUUGUUUGUCUUUAUUCACUUGAAUUUACUAUCUUGCCCUUUAUUCAAUACAUUUCUUCACACAUCCAAGGAUAAUAUUGUAAAUUCAUGUUGAUAAAAACAAAAAAGGGAGUGUGAAUGGCUAAAGGGAGAGUGUGGAAAUCAUUUUCCAUGCUCAAUUUGUGAAUCUCCACAUCAUGAUUUCCAAUAUCGAGAAACAAAGACUAAAUGUUACAAAACAACCCAUGAUUCCUCAAAACCCAUGUGAUGAUCGUCACUUAUAUAUGAUGAAUGUACCCAAAAUCAUGGACAAUCUGUCAAUUGUCAGUACUGGGUAGCUAUUUACAUUUUUCAACAAUUGACUUUGAAGCAUGCCGGAUCAGUUUGAAGCAAUUAAAGUAAGGCUGACAAACGAUUUUGUUGAAAUUUUCAAAAUAGACAUGAUUUCUCUCCCCCAUCAAAUUCUCCCUCACUGGGCAACCACGAUUAUAUCCCUAGAAUUAUGAAAAUAGGUUGUGAAGGAGGGGAGAUUUAGGCAAAACAAUUUUGGCAAUGGUCGAUGCAAUGGUUGAUGAGGUGGUUAUGAUAUGGUGAGUGGGUGGUGAGUGGGUUGUGAUGGCGGUCAUGAGAAGUGGUAGGGUCAGGGUGUGUCAGAGAGAAUCUGUUUUGCCAAGAAGAGAAGGGCUCAGUGGUGGGAUUCAAGAAAGAAGAAAGAGGUGGCGGAGGGCCUGGAAGGUUCAGUGGCGGAGGGCGUCGUGCCGGUCAAUCUUGUAAGGGAGAGAUAAGAAGAAGAAAUGGAUAAGGAUGCGCAUAGUUAUUAAAUGCGAUAGGUGCACUAAGAGCCCAAAGGCCUAUUGGGGCCAGGGCAAGUACGAGCCUUAUUAUUCGAAUGCCAUCUUGUUAUCUAUGUGCGAUAGGCGCACUAAGGGGCCAAAGGCCUAUUGGGGCCAAGGCAAGUACGAGCCUUAUUAUUUGAAGGCCAUCUAGUCAGUCAUAGAUAACAAUAUUAUAUUUGCAAAGAUUCGUAGUUUACUUUAGGAAAACUUAUUAGCACAUGGAAAUUAACUUCCUGUUUAUGAACACCGAUAAUAAAGAGCAAGUAUAUAGUCCAAGGAUACGUAGGCCAUUUAAUAGAACACCUGAUGCACGAUAACAUCUAUACGAGUAAAAGUCACACCCUUGUUACCAAUACAAGUGACAAUUUGCAAAGAAAAAGAAUCCAAAGAAAGCUGACCCAAAAGACAAAAAAGUAAACUUGGUGGUAGAGGCUUUGAUAAAAAAGAUAAAGGAGUAUACCUGAUCCACCAACUGAAAAAUUGCCCUUCAAGCAGGAUUGGCAAUCGGUUGAGUCUUGUGACUACUAGAGACUUCAAUUGAGCUUGUGGAUUGCACCAAAAAAAUUUUAACAUUUUUUUUUGCUUUUAGGGUUAGUAUUUUAACUCUUUCUCUACUUUUUAAGGCUACCUGAAAGAGGAGCGUGCGUAUGGUGGGUUUCUUACACAUUGCCUUGCCCCACCCUCUGUAACGCACACAACCUGAGCCUCUUUGAACCUCGGGUGGUGCAUACCUAGGAAUGCCUUUAACAAUUAUCCAGGUACUGUGGGUGCCUAGCGGCAGUGGGGAGCAGUGAUGUUGGGGAGGGAGUGAUGAAAAUGGUGCUUAGUGGGGAGAGAGCAUAUGAAUAUGUUCUUUGAAGUGGGCGUGCCAUGUUGGUCAGUGUUUUCUAUGCUGAAACAGGAGGUUGAGGAGUUUUCCAGUGGAUUAGGAUGCUUAAGGAGACUGAUGGUACUAUCAGAUAAAAAGAAAAAAGGUAGGGAGAGAGCCCCUACAAUGGGAUAAAUUUUGAGAGGGUAAGUUCCUGUGCGGUAGGCCUAUACAUUUUAUGAAAAAUAAAUGGUGUUUCAGCCAGUCAAUUGGCAAUAUGAAAAA